This 50-nucleotide transfer RNA is filed under the name Runcina aurata. RNAcentral's name for it is "tRNA-His". The record is from RNAcentral. Lineage: Eukaryota; Metazoa; Mollusca; Gastropoda; Runcinacea; Runcinidae.
AUUUAGGUUAAAUUAAACCGUAAACCUGUGGAGUUUAAGAUUUUUAGAUC